This 651-nucleotide ribosomal RNA is filed under the name uncultured Oscillatoriales cyanobacterium. RNAcentral describes it as "bacterial SSU rRNA". It matches the Rfam family "Bacterial small subunit ribosomal RNA", at positions 99 to 794 of the family's 1533-position model. Lineage: Bacteria; Bacillati; Cyanobacteriota; Cyanophyceae; Oscillatoriales. The record is from RNAcentral.
CGGACGGGUGAGUAACGCGUGAGAAUCUGCUCUCAGGAUGGGGAUAACAGCGGGAAACGCUGCUAAUACCCAAUGUGCCGUAAUGGUGAAAGAUUUACGCCUGAGAAUGAGCUCGCGGCCGAUUAGUUAGUUGGUGGGGUAAAGGCCUACCAAGACGCGAUCGGUAGCUGGUCUGAGAGGAUGAGCAGCCACACUGGGACUGAGACACGGCCCAGCUCCUACGGGAGGCAGCAGUGGGGAAUUUUCCGCAAUGGGCGCAAGCCUGACGGAGCAAACCGCGUGGGGGAGGAAGGCCUUUGGGUUGUAAACCCCUUUUCUCAGGGAAGGAGCAUGACGGUACCUGAGGAAUCAGCCUCGGCUAACUCCGUCCAGCAGCCGCGGUAAUACGGAGGAGGCAAGCGUUAUCCGGAAUUAUUGGGCGUAAAGCUCCGUAGGUGGUGGGGCAAGUCGGCGGUUAAAGCCUGGGGCUUAACUCCAGACAGGCCGGGAAACUGCACCACUAGAGGGCAGUAGGGGUAGAGGGAAUUCCCGGUGUAGCGGUGAAAGCGUAGAGAUCGGGAAGAACACCAGUGGCGGAAGCGCUCUACUGGACUGCAACUGACAUGAGGGACGAAAGCUAGGGGAGCGAAAGGGAUUAGAUACCCCUGUAGU